GAUGAACGCUGGCGGCGUGCCUAAUACAUGCAAGUCGAGCGAACGGACGAGAAGCUUGCUUCUCUGAUGUUAGCGGCGGACGGGUGAGUAACACGUGGAUAACCUACCUAUAAGACUGGGAUAACUUCGGGAAACCGGAGCUAAUACCGGAUGAUAUUUUGAACCGCAUGGUUCAAAAGUGAAAGACGGUCUUGCUGUCACUUAUAGAUGGAUCCGCGCUGCAUUAGCUAGUUGGUAAGGUAACGGCUUACCAAGGCAACGAUGCAUAGCCGACCUGAGAGGGUGAUCGGCCACACUGGAACUGAGACACGGUCCAGACUCCUACGGGAGGCAGCAGUAGGGAAUCUUCCGCAAUGGGCGAAAGCCUGACGGAGCAACGCCGCGUGAGUGAUGAAGGUCUUCGGAUCGUAAAACGCUGUUAUUAGGGAAGAACAUAUGUGUAAGUAACUGUGCACAUCUUGACGGUACCUAAGCAGAAAGCCACGGCUAACUACGU
RNAcentral lists this ribosomal RNA (496 nucleotides) under uncultured bacterium. RNAcentral describes it as "partial 16S ribosomal RNA". It matches the Rfam family "Bacterial small subunit ribosomal RNA", at positions 28 to 506 of the family's 1533-position model. The record is from RNAcentral.